RNAcentral lists this ribosomal RNA (506 nucleotides) under uncultured Geobacter sp. Its description in RNAcentral is "bacterial SSU rRNA". It matches the Rfam family "Bacterial small subunit ribosomal RNA", at positions 335 to 832 of the family's 1533-position model. The record is from RNAcentral. Lineage: Bacteria; Pseudomonadati; Thermodesulfobacteriota; Desulfuromonadia; Geobacterales; Geobacteraceae.
ACUCCUACGGGAGGCAGCAGUGGGGAAUUUUGCGCAAUGGGCGAAAGCCUGACGCAGCAACGCCGCGUGAGUGAUGAAGGCUUUCGGGUCGUAAAGCUCUGUCAAGGGGAAAGAAGUGUAGAGUGGUUAAUACCCGCUUUACUUGACGGUACCCCUGAAGGAAGCACCGGCUAACUCCGUGCCAGCAGCCGCGGUAAUACGGGGGGUGCAAGCGUUGUUCGGAAUUAUUGGGCGUAAAGCGCGUGUAGGCGGUUUGUUAAGUCUGAUGUGAAAGCCCUGGGCUCAACCCAGGAAGUGCAUUGGAUACUGGCAGACUUGAAUACGGGAGAGGGUAGUGGAAUUCCUGGUGUAGGAGUGAAAUCCGUAGAUAUCAGGAGGAACACCGGUGGCGAAGGCGGCUACCUGGACCGAUAUUGACGCUGAGACGCGAAAGCGUGGGUAGCAAACAGGAUUAGAUACCCUGGUAGUCCACGCCGUAAACGAUGAGAACUAGGUGUUGCGGGUAA